RNAcentral lists this ribosomal RNA (233 nucleotides) under uncultured bacterium. Its description in RNAcentral is "partial 16S ribosomal RNA". It matches the Rfam family "Bacterial small subunit ribosomal RNA", at positions 794 to 1034 of the family's 1533-position model. The record is from RNAcentral.
UCCACGCCGUAAACGAUGGAUACUAGUUGUUGGGAUUUAUCUCAGUGACUAAGCGAAAGUGAUAAGUAUCCUACCUGGGGAGUACGGUCGCAAGACUGAAACUCAAAGGAAUUGACGGGGGCCCGCACAAGCGGUGGAGCAUGUGGUUUAAUUCGAUGAUACGCGAGGAACCUUACCAGGGCUUAAAUGUAGUCUGACAGCUUUAGAGAUAGAGUUUUCUUCGGACAGAUUAC